ACGCUAGCGAUAGGCUUAACACAUGCAAGUCGAGGGGCAGCAUGGUCUUAACUUGCUAAGACUGAUGGCGACCGGCGCACGGGUGCGUAACGCGUAUGCAACUUGCCUCACAGAGGGGGAUAACCCGUCGAAAGACGGACUAAUACCGCGUACACUCUAUGUUGGGCAUCCAAUGUAGAGGAAAUGAAAUUCGCUGUGAGAUAGGCAUGCGUCCCAUUAGCUAGUUGGUGAGGUAACGGCUCACCAAGGCGACGAUGGGUAGGGGAACUGAGAGGUUGAACCCCCACACUGGUACUGAGACACGGACCAGACUCCUACGGGAGGCAGCAGUGAGGAAUAUUGGUCAAUGGGCGAGAGCCUGAACCAGCCAAGUCGCGUGAAGGAUGACUGUCUUAUGGAUUGUAAACUUCUUUUAUACGGGAAUAACAAGAGUCACGUGUGGCUCCCUGCAUGUACCGUAUGAAUAAGCAUCGGCUAACUCCGUGCCAGCAGCCGCGGUAAUACGGAGGAUGCGAGCGUUAUCCGGAUUUAUUGGGUUUAAAGGGUGCGUAGGCGGCCUGUUAAGUCAGCGGUGAAAUCUAGGAGCUUAACUCCUAAAUUGCCAUUGAUACUGGCGGGCUUGAGUGUAGAUGAGGUAGGCGGAGUGCGUGGUGUAGCGGUGGAAUGCAUAGAUAUCACGCAGAACUCCGAUUGCGAAGGCAGCUUACUAAGGUACAACUGACGCUGAAGCACGAAAGCGUGGGUAUCAAACAGGAUUAGAUACCCUGGUAGUCCACGCAGUAAACGAUGAUAACUGGGCGUAUGCGAUAUACAGUAUGCUCCUAAGCGAAAGCGUUAAGUUAUCCACCUGGGGAGUACGCCGGCAACGGUGAAACUCAAAGGAAUUGACGGGGGCCCGCACAAGCGGAGG
RNAcentral lists this ribosomal RNA (910 nucleotides) under uncultured bacterium. RNAcentral's name for it is "bacterial SSU rRNA". It matches the Rfam family "Bacterial small subunit ribosomal RNA", at positions 33 to 935 of the family's 1533-position model. The record is from RNAcentral.